Molecule: transfer RNA, 73 nt
Filed under: Adiantum flabellulatum
Lineage: Eukaryota; Viridiplantae; Streptophyta; Polypodiopsida; Polypodiales; Pteridaceae
Description: tRNA-Thr
Source: RNAcentral
UCCCUCGUAUAUUCCGGAGGAGAUAGAAGUAUUUUGCGUAAUACGGACGGAGGUUCGAAUCCCCGCAAGGCGU